This 37-nucleotide non-coding RNA is filed under the name Prorocentrum micans. The record is from RNAcentral. Lineage: Eukaryota; Dinophyceae; Prorocentrales; Prorocentraceae.
UUUUUUUUUUUUUUUUUUUUUUUUUUUGUUGCCUUUC